AUACAAAGAGAAGCGACCUCGCGAGAGC
RNAcentral lists this ribosomal RNA (28 nucleotides) under Escherichia coli DEC2A. The record is from RNAcentral. Lineage: Bacteria; Pseudomonadati; Pseudomonadota; Gammaproteobacteria; Enterobacterales; Enterobacteriaceae.